UUCUUUGAGGCUGAGAUUGCGUUUAGACUCAAUUGAAAAUGCGGUGUUUGUCAAUUGCGUUCGUGCUGGGUCUCCUGGCCUUGGCCAGUGCUUCGCCCUUGUUGCCUGGCGAUGUGAUCAUCAACGGACACUGUGUCAACUGCAAUGUUCACGGAGGCUGAGGGCUGUUGAAACGCAAUUCAACUAGGAUUUAAAUCUCGCCACAAACAAACAACUGAAUACUAUGUUAAUGCCUAAGUAAUUUGCAAAUAUAUAUAUAUAUAUAUAAAUA
This 271-nucleotide small RNA is filed under the name Drosophila virilis. RNAcentral describes it as "GJ25728". The record is from RNAcentral. Lineage: Eukaryota; Metazoa; Arthropoda; Insecta; Diptera; Drosophilidae.